UACGGAGGGUGCAAGCGUUAUCCGGAUUCACUGGGUUUAAAGGGUGCGUAGGUGGGUCUGUAAGUCAGUGGUGAAAUCUCCGGGCUUAACCCGGAAACUGCCAUUGAUACUAUAGGUCUUGAAUUUUCUGGAGGUCAGCGGAAUAUGUCAUGUAGCGGUGAAAUGCUUAGAUAUGACAUAGAACACCGAUUGCGAAGGCAGCUGGCUACAGGAACAUUGACACUGAGGCACGAAAGCGUGGGGAUCAAACAGG
RNAcentral lists this ribosomal RNA (253 nucleotides) under uncultured bacterium. Its description in RNAcentral is "partial 16S ribosomal RNA". It matches the Rfam family "Bacterial small subunit ribosomal RNA", at positions 524 to 776 of the family's 1533-position model. The record is from RNAcentral.